RNAcentral lists this microRNA (23 nucleotides) under Gossypium hirsutum (cotton). RNAcentral describes it as "ghr-miR7492c". The record is from miRBase by way of RNAcentral. Lineage: Eukaryota; Viridiplantae; Streptophyta; Magnoliopsida; Malvales; Malvaceae.
CUAUAGAACAUGAUCUUUAGCGG